ANAGUUUGAUCAUGGCUCAGAUUGAACGCUGGCGGCAGGCCUAACACAUGCAAGUCGAGCGCGAAAGGUCUUCGGACUGAGUAGAGCGGCGGACGGGUGAGUAACGCGUAGGAAUCUACCUGGUAGUGGGGGACAACUCGGGGAAACUCGAGCUAAUACCGCAUACGCCCUAAGGGGGAAAGCGGGGGAUCUUCGGACCUCGCGCUAUCGGAUGAGCCUGCGUUGGAUUAGCUAGUUGGUGGGGUAAAGGCCCACCAAGGCGACGAUCCAUAGCUGGUCUGAGAGGAUGAUCAGCCACACCGGGACUGAGACACGGCCCGGACUCCUACGGGAGGCAGCAGUGGGGAAUAUUGCGCAAUGGGGGAAACCCUGACGCAGCCAUGCCGCGUGUGUGAAGAAGGCCUUCGGGUUGUAAAGCACUUUCACAUGGGAAGAAAAGUUCGUAGCUAAUACCUGCGAGCCGUGACAUUACCAUGACAAGAAGCACCGGCUAACUCCGUGCCAGCAGCCGCGGUAAUACGGAGGGUGCAAGCGUUAAUCGGAAUUACUGGGCGUAAAGCGCGCGUAGGCGGUUUAUUAAGUCGGAUGUGAAAGCCCCGGGCUCAACCUGGGAAUUGCACCCGAUACUGGUCGACUAGAGUGCGAGAGAGGGAGGUAGAAUUCCACGUGUAGCGGUGAAAUGCGUAGAUAUGUGGAGGAAUACCGGUGGCGAAGGCGGCCUCCUGGCUCGACACUGACGCUGAGGUGCGAAAGCGUGGGGAGCAAAC
This 767-nucleotide ribosomal RNA is filed under the name uncultured Gammaproteobacteria bacterium. RNAcentral describes it as "bacterial SSU rRNA". It matches the Rfam family "Bacterial small subunit ribosomal RNA", at positions 8 to 773 of the family's 1533-position model. The record is from RNAcentral. Lineage: Bacteria; Pseudomonadati; Pseudomonadota; Gammaproteobacteria.